This is a small nucleolar RNA of Manis javanica (Malayan pangolin), 135 nucleotides long. RefSeq annotates it as small nucleolar RNA SNORD10. NCBI's taxonomy places the organism in Eukaryota, Metazoa, Chordata, Mammalia, Pholidota, Manidae. The record is from RefSeq and is a predicted model, not a curated record.
GCUCUGUGAUGAACCCAUGCGUGUCAUCUGAGCCUGGCUUCCUGUGGUCUCAGCUCAGGUAGUGUUCUACUUCCCAGGGCUGUUUGGCCUGGCAGGGGGUUCUGGGCAAAGGAUCAGUCCCUCUCUUCUGAGAGC